RNAcentral lists this ribosomal RNA (128 nucleotides) under Pogona vitticeps (central bearded dragon). The record is from RNAcentral. Lineage: Eukaryota; Metazoa; Chordata; Lepidosauria; Squamata; Agamidae.
CUGUCUGAACACAUCACAAUAGUAUGUGCAGCACCCAAUCUUUUCUGAUUUUGGAAGUCCAGCAUCGUUGGACCUGGCUAGUACUCGGACAGGAGAGUCCAGGCAAACACCAGCGGUUUACAAAUGGG